GUUCAAAUAGCUUAUAAUUUAGAGUAUAACAUUGAAGAUGUUAGGGAGAUUUUAAAAUCUUUGAAUA
Molecule: transfer RNA, 67 nt
Filed under: Subclytia rotundiventris
Lineage: Eukaryota; Metazoa; Arthropoda; Insecta; Diptera; Tachinidae
Description: tRNA-Phe
Source: RNAcentral